Molecule: ribosomal RNA, 484 nt
Filed under: uncultured bacterium
Lineage: Bacteria
Description: partial 16S ribosomal RNA
Rfam family: Bacterial small subunit ribosomal RNA
Source: RNAcentral
AUUGAACGCUGGCGGAAUGCUUUACACAUGCAAGUCGAGCGGCAGCACGGUGACAGCCCUGUCUUCCAGCUGCCAACUGGUGAGUAAUACAUCGGAACAUGCCCAUCUGUUUUUUCUUACACUUCGACAUAAGUACUCAUACCGCAUACGUCCUUACGGGCUACGCGUGGAAUCACAAGACCUCGCGCCCUUGCGCUGUCCGAUGUCCGAUUAGCUAGUUGGUGGGGUAAAGGCCUACCAAGGCAACGAUCUGUAGCUGGUCUGAGAGGAUGAUCAGCCACACUGGAACUGAGACACGGCCCAGACUCCUACGGGAGGCAGCAGUGGGGAAUAUUGGACAAUGGGGGCAAGCCUGAUCCAGCCAUUCCGCGUGAGUGAAGAAGGCCUUCGGGUUGUAAAGCUCUUUUGGCAGGAAAGAAAAGGAGAGGGCUAACAUAGCGCGGUAAUGACGGUACCUGAAGAAGAAGCACCGGCUAACUACGUG